Small nucleolar RNA from Panicum virgatum (switchgrass), 139 nucleotides. RefSeq annotates it as small nucleolar RNA Z247. The record is from RefSeq and is a predicted model, not a curated record. The transcript has a single exon. NCBI's taxonomy places the organism in Eukaryota, Viridiplantae, Streptophyta, Magnoliopsida, Poales, Poaceae.
CCCCUCGAUGAUGAGGACAUGGUAUCCUACAUCUUGACCGGACUCGAUAUCGAGUUCAAUCCAGUCGUCUCGGCGGUGUUGGCUUGAGUGGAGCCGAUCACCGUCACGGAGCUCCUCACCCAGCUCCUUGCGUUCGAGC